This 497-nucleotide ribosomal RNA is filed under the name uncultured bacterium. RNAcentral's name for it is "partial 16S ribosomal RNA". It matches the Rfam family "Bacterial small subunit ribosomal RNA", at positions 28 to 507 of the family's 1533-position model. The record is from RNAcentral.
GAUGAACGCUGGCGGCGUGCCUAAUACAUGCAAGUCGAGCGAACGGACGAGAAGCUUGCUUCUCUGAUGUUAGCGGCGGACGGGUGAGUAACACGUGGAUAACCUACCUAUAAGACUGGGAUAACUUCGGGAAACCGGAGCUAAUACCGGAUAAUAUUUUGAACCGCAUGGUUAAAAAGUGAAAGACGGUCUUGCUGUCACUUAUAGAUGGAUCCGCGCUGCAUUAGCUAGUUGGUAAGGUAACGGCUUACCAAGGAAACGAUGGAUAGCCGACCGGAGAGGGUGAACGGCCACACUGGAACUGAGACACGGUCCAGACUCCUACGGGAGGCAGCAGUAGGGAAUCUUCCGCAAUGGGCGAAAGCCUGACGGAGCAACGCCGCGUGAGUGAUGAAGGUCUUCGGAUCGUAAAACUCUGUUAUUAGGGAAGAACAUAUGUGUAAGUAACUGUGCGCAUCUUGACGGUACCUAAUCAGAAAGCCACGGCUAACUACGUG